This 352-nucleotide ribosomal RNA is filed under the name uncultured bacterium. RNAcentral describes it as "bacterial SSU rRNA". It matches the Rfam family "Bacterial small subunit ribosomal RNA", at positions 72 to 422 of the family's 1533-position model. The record is from RNAcentral.
AAGUGGAGCAAUCCAUGAGUAAAGUGGCGACCGGGUGAGUAACACGUGACUAACCUACCCUUGAGUGGGGGAUAACCUAGGGAAACCUGGGCUAAUACCGCAUAACAUCUUUGGAUCGGAAGAACUGGAGAUCAAAGGAGCAAUUCGCUUAAGGAGGGGGUCGCGGCUGAUUAGCUAGUUGGCGGGGUAAUGGCCCACCAAGGCUUUGAUCGGUAGCCGGCCUGAGAGGGCGCACGGCCACACUGGAACUGAAACACGGUCCAGACUCCUACGGGAGGCAGCAGUGGGGAAUUUUGCGCAAUGGGGGAAACCCUGACGCAGCAACGCCGCGUGGAGGAUGAAGUCCCUUGGG